RNAcentral lists this ribosomal RNA (440 nucleotides) under uncultured bacterium. RNAcentral's name for it is "partial 16S ribosomal RNA". It matches the Rfam family "Bacterial small subunit ribosomal RNA", at positions 338 to 795 of the family's 1533-position model. The record is from RNAcentral.
CCUACGGGGUGCUGCAGUGGGGAAUAUUGGACAAUGGGGGAAAGCCUGAUGCAGCGAAGCAGCGUGAGUGAAGAAGGAUUUCGGUAUGGAAAGCUCUAUCAGCAGGGAAGAAAAUGACGUUACGUGAGUAAGUAGCCACGGCUAACUACGUUCCAGCCGCCGCGGUAAUACGGAGGGGGCCAGCGUUAUCCGGAUUUACUGGGUGUAAAGGGAGCGUAGAGGGCAGCACAAGUCUGGAGUGAAAUGCCGGGGCUUAACCCUGGAACUGCUUUGGAAACUGGGCAGCUAGAGUGCAGGUGAGGUAAGCGGAAUUCGUAGUGUAGCGGUGAAAUGCGUAGAUAUUAGGAGGAACUCCAGUGGCGAAGGCAGCUUACUGGACUGCAACUGACGUUGAGGCUCGAAAGCGUGGGGAGCAAACAGGAUUAGAUACCCUUGUAGUC